UACGUAGGGGCCUAGCGUUGUCCGGAAUCAUUGGGCGUAAAGAGCUCGUAGGCGGUUCGGCAAGUCACGUGUGAAAUCUCCACGCUUAACGUGGAGGCGCCACGUGAAACUGCCGUGACUCGAGUCCGGUAGGGGAGUGUGGAAUUCCCGGUGUAGCGGUGAAAUGCGCAGAUAUCGGGAGGAACACCAGUAGCGAAGGCGGCACUCUGGGCCGGUACUGACGCUGAGGAGCGAAAGCGUGGGAGCGAACAGG
Molecule: ribosomal RNA, 253 nt
Filed under: uncultured bacterium
Lineage: Bacteria
Description: partial 16S ribosomal RNA
Rfam family: Bacterial small subunit ribosomal RNA
Source: RNAcentral